GAAAAAACGUGACAGACAGGGAGAUUUUAUUCCUCAAAGACCAUCAACCAGUCGAAGUACUAGUUGCAUGCCACGUGUGUCCAGAGAUCAGCAUCAAUGUCCACGUGAAGAACCUAGUUAUGUUGCCAGUGUCAACCCAACAAAAGUGUAUGGAACUGAGGUGCUUCGUCAGGAGCUCCUUCAGUUGUUGGAGGAUGGAGAAGAGGAUGCAGCCAUGACUUGUGAGACGUCGUCUGAGUCAGCUGCUACUCACUAGGAGAUCAGAAACAUGGUGUCCUCGCAAAAGUGGAAAGAGGCCAGGCCUUGUCUUAUAGACAAUAUGUUAGCUACUCUGGAUCCACAGUCACACCGUGUGUGUCAGUGUGGCAAACAAGUAGUUGUGAGGUGUCUGGACUACCUGCCUCUUCCAUUCCUUUGUGCUGACUGUGAUAUUGCAGUUCACACAUGCUUUGUCCUGCACAACAGAGAGGUAGUAACAGGAGGGUUUUUGCAGCCUUCAUCAGAGUUUCACAAGCCAAUAGGUACGGUUUUUAAGUCCUAUGCAUUUCUUGCUAUGUUCUAUGAGUGGGUGCUGUUAUUGUAUAUUUAUUGUGUAUCAGUUAAUUUCCAAUUCUUUUUAUAUAUAUUGUGUGUUUUAAUGUUAGUUCGGCUGUUGCCUGUGCAAAGGCCAGACCAUGUGUGUGACUGCCCAGCAGGUAACGUUGAGGUUUCACCCGGCGCAAUUGUGGCUCUUGUAACCAUAAAUGGCCGUUAUAA
Oreochromis niloticus (Nile tilapia) is the source of this 756-nucleotide long non-coding RNA. RefSeq lists it as uncharacterized. NCBI's taxonomy places the organism in Eukaryota, Metazoa, Chordata, Actinopteri, Cichliformes, Cichlidae. The transcript has 4 exons. The record is from RefSeq and is a predicted model, not a curated record.